This 90-nucleotide non-coding RNA is filed under the name zebrafish metagenome. Its description in RNAcentral is "Purine riboswitch". The stretch from base 16 to 80 matches the Rfam family "Purine riboswitch aptamer", at positions 21 to 85 of the family's 102-position model. From Rfam's summary of the family: Riboswitches are metabolite binding domains within certain messenger RNAs that serve as precision sensors for their corresponding targets. Allosteric rearrangement of mRNA structure is mediated by ligand binding, and this results in modulation of gene expression. The record is from RNAcentral.
AAAAAUAGAUAUGCUUCGUAUAAUCCCCUUAAUAUGGUAGGGGAGUCUCUACCUAGUCGCCGUAAAUGACUAGAUUACGAGUGCAUAGGU